UGGGGAAUAUUGGACAAUGGGCGAAAGCCUGAUCCAGCCAUGCCGCGUGUGUGAAGAAGGUCUUCGGAUUGUAAAGCACUUUAAGUUGGGAGGAAGGGCAGUAAGCGAAUACCUUGCUGUUUUGACGUUACCGACAGAAUAAGCACCGGCUAACUCUGUGCCAGCAGCCGCGGUAAUACAGAGGGUGCAAGCGUUAUUCGGAAUUACUGGGCGUAAAGCGCGCGUAGGUGGUUCGUUAAGUUGAAUGUGAAAGCCCCGGGCUCAACCGGGGAACUGCAUCCAAAACUGGCGGGCUAGAGUAGGGCAGAGGGUGGUGGAAUUUCCUGUGUAGCGGUGAAAUGCGUAGAUAUAGGAAGGAACACCAGUGGCGAAGGCGACCACCUGGGCUCAUACUGACACUGAGGUGCGAAAGCGUGGGGAGCAAACCGG
RNAcentral lists this ribosomal RNA (429 nucleotides) under Pseudomonadota bacterium. RNAcentral describes it as "Proteobacteria bacterium partial 16S ribosomal RNA". It matches the Rfam family "Bacterial small subunit ribosomal RNA", at positions 355 to 776 of the family's 1533-position model. Lineage: Bacteria; Pseudomonadati; Pseudomonadota. The record is from RNAcentral.